This 739-nucleotide ribosomal RNA is filed under the name uncultured Bacilli bacterium. RNAcentral describes it as "bacterial SSU rRNA". It matches the Rfam family "Bacterial small subunit ribosomal RNA", at positions 47 to 753 of the family's 1533-position model. Lineage: Bacteria; Bacillati; Bacillota; Bacilli. The record is from RNAcentral.
CCUAAUACAUGCAAGUCGAGCGAGCGGAACCAACAGAUUUACUUCGGUAAUGACGUUGGGAAAGCGAGCGGCGGAUGGGUGAGUAACACGUGGGGAACCUGCCCCUAAGUCUGGGAUACCAUUUGGAAACAGGUGCUAAUACCGGAUAAUAAAGCAGAUCGCAUGAUCAGCUUUUGAAAGGCGGCGUAAGCUGUCGCUAAGGGAUGGCCCCGCGGUGCAUUAGCUAGUUGGUAAGGUAACGGCUUACCAAGGCGACGAUGCAUAGCCGAGUUGAGAGACUGAUCGGCCACAUUGGGACUGAGACACGGCCCAAACUCCUACGGGAGGCAGCAGUAGGGAAUCUUCCACAAUGGACGCAAGUCUGAUGGAGCAACGCCGCGUGAGUGAAGAAGGUUUUCGGAUCGUAAAGCUCUGUUGUUGGUGAAGAAGGGUAGAGGUAGUAACUGGCCUUUAUUUGACGGUAAUCAACCAGAAAGUCACGGCUAACUACGUGCCAGCAGCCGCGGUAAUACGUGGGUGGCAAGCGUUGUCCGGAUUUAUUGGGCGUAAAGCGAGCGCAGGCGGAAAAAUAAGUCUAAUGUGAAAGCCCUCGGCUUAACCGAGGAACUGCAUCGGAAACUGUUUUUCUUGAGUGCAGAAGAGGAGAGUGGAACUCCAUGUGUAGCGGUGGAAUGCGUAGAUAUAUGGAAGAACACCAGUGGCGAAGGCGGCUCUCUGGUCUGCAACUGACGCUGAGGCU